Canis lupus familiaris (dog) is the source of this 1623-nucleotide long non-coding RNA. RefSeq lists it as uncharacterized. The transcript has 3 exons. NCBI's taxonomy places the organism in Eukaryota, Metazoa, Chordata, Mammalia, Carnivora, Canidae. The record is from RefSeq and is a predicted model, not a curated record.
CUCAUGGCUACCCCAUUGAAUCUGUGAUCUUCAGAGAAGCCUGUUUCCACUUGCUAAAGAAGUAUCCUUGAUGUUGUUCUUUUGUUGUUAGACAAACGGACAGUCCUAAAGAAAUGGGGAAAAAGAGACUCUGCAAAGAUUCUGCAGUUCAAGGAAAAAAGUUUGGACAGGUGGACACAAACACAGUGUGCCAGUGGUACACGCAUGGACAUACACCACCGUGUCAAGAAGGAGCGUGUCUUCAACAGUGCUGAGCACCUGACCAGGGCCUCAACCAUGCUCCAAACUCCAAGAUCCCAGGAAGCUGCUGGCUAGGGAACUCCCCAGCACCUCUGCUCUCCUGCCAUUCAGAAAGGCUGAAGGCCCAAGAAGUAAACAAAAAUACAAAAUCAGUAACCUACUCUGUGACUGUUCCUUGAGCACCAAACAUGGGAUUUGGCUCCAGCCUUCUCAAUGUUUACAGUCAAAAAGACAAACAAACAAACUGGUUCAUACCGCACACCAGCUGGGCAUGCAUGCUGGCAUUAAGUCAAACCAGAAACCCAAGUUGCUUCAGCUCUCUAGGCUGUAGGGAAUCGGAUUAGGAGCCAAGAUGUUCCUUCCUCUGUGGUCAGCUGGAAAGCCAGGAGCACCCCAACUCUAUUCAGCACAGACCUGAGACCUGCUUCUGAGUCCACACCCGAUACCCCACUUCUCUUCUGCACCUGCAGAUAAACCCAGUUUCCUAGUGUUCUUUCAACAUGCAAGUCUCACGCAGGUUUUAUAUACUGAUGGCUCAGUUAGGGCAGUAUGAUAGGUUUGAUCCCUGGUGGCCCAAUCAGGAUUGAUUGUAGAAAAAUGCAGCCCUGUCUGGAAUUGCUAAAAGGAAAUGUUUGAGAGAAGGGAAGCCAGCACCAUUUGUACAAUGACGGCGGCGAAUAAACCAGAGCAUUCCAGCAGUUUCUUAAUCCCGCUGCAGGCCGUCUUGAAGCGAUCCCCAGUUUGCGGGUGCACAUUUCUGUGAUGUGCUGCAUGUCUCUAGACAAUUCCCCGCACGGCCUGGGACGUCCCCUUGAAGAAGUGAGGAAAUCACUGCGGCGGGCUCCGGUCCCCGGAACUGACCUAAAUAGUGGCUUUGCCCCUGAUGAAGUAGUGCUGAUUGCUUUGUACAUGUAGCGUUCAUCAUCAUCAGCCAGGCCCAGCUUCCCUGCUCAGAGACGGAGAGAAAACACAACAGACUGAGCAGAGAGAGCUGAAGAGCACGAUUCAGCCAAUGAUCACGAGGAUGCGAAGAGACCGCAAGGUACAAUGAGCCAAAAACCAUGCACCUGAGACCCAGCCUCCCAGGCAGCAAACACCCCUGCCCAUCCCUCCCUGCCCGUCCAGGUCACCGCCACCUCCUGCCCCAUCAGCAGCAAGUCUUUCCUUUCACAUGCAUCUGGGGGAGGUAGCCUCCCAACGUCCUAUUUUAUUACCAGGUGGGGAGAUGAAUGGUCCUAUGGUAAAUCCAGAAACACAGAGUGACCCUAUCAAAUCUUUUUUAAAAAUUGUAAUAUUCGUCUUCAUACUCCUGCUGCAAGACCAAAAUAAAGUCCAAGUUGUUUGACAAAAUGCCAUGCAGCUCUGAAAAUGGGAGUCUGCGUC